CUGGCUCAGGACGAACGCUGGCGGCGUGCUUAACACAUGCAAGUCGAACGGUAAGGCCCUUUCGGGGGUACACGAGUGGCGAACGGGUGAGUAACACGUGAGUAACCUGCCCUUGACUCUGGGAUAACAUCUGGAAACAGUUGCUAAUACUGGAUAUGAGCUGCCCUGGCAUCGGGGUGGUUGGAAAGUUUUUCGGUCAAGGAUGGACUCGCGGCCUAUCAGCUUGUUGGUGAGGUAGUGGCUCACCAAGGCUUCGACGGGUAGCCGGCCUGAGAGGGCGACCGGCCACAUUGGGACUGAGAUACGGCCCAAACUCCUACGGGAGGCAGCAGUGGGGAAUAUUGCACAAUGGGCGGAAGCCUGAUGCAGCAACGCCGCGUGCGGGAUGACGGCCUUCGGGUUGUAAACCGCUUUCAUCCAUGACGAAGCUUUUGUGACGGUAGUGGAAGAAGAAGCACCGGCUAACUACGUGCCAGCAGCCGCGGUGAUACGUAGGGUGCGAGCGUUGUCCGGAUUUAUUGGGCGUAAAGAGCUUGUAGGCGGUUUGUUGCGUCGGGAGUGAAAACUCAGGGCUUAACCCUGAGCCUGCUUCCGAUACGGGCAGACUUGAGGAAGGUAGGGGAGAUUGGAAUUCCUGGUGAAGCGGUGGAAUGCGUAGAUAUCAGGAGGAACACCAGUGGCGAAGGCGGAUCUCUGGACCUUUCCUGACGCUGAGAAGCGAAAGCGUGGGGAGCAAACAGGCUUAGAUACCCUGGUAGUCCACGCCGUAAACGGUGGGUACUAGGUGUGGGGGACAUUCCACGUUCUCCGUGCCGCAGCUAACGCAUUAAGUACCCCGCCUGGGGAGUACGGCCGCAAGGCUAAAACUCAAAGGAAUUGACGGGGCCCCGCACAAGCGGCGGAGCAUGCGGAUUAAUUCGAUGCAACGCGAAGAACCUUACCUGGGUUUGACAUAUGCCGGAAACAUCUAG
RNAcentral lists this ribosomal RNA (971 nucleotides) under Tessaracoccus bendigoensis DSM 12906. Its description in RNAcentral is "bacterial SSU rRNA". It matches the Rfam family "Bacterial small subunit ribosomal RNA", at positions 19 to 1003 of the family's 1533-position model. The record is from RNAcentral. Lineage: Bacteria; Bacillati; Actinomycetota; Actinomycetes; Propionibacteriales; Propionibacteriaceae.